GACGUAGGGCGCGAGCGUUGUCCGGAUUUAUUGGGCGUAAAGAGCUCGUAGGCGGCUCGUUGCGUCGGCUGUGAAAACCCGCAGCUCAACUGUGGGCUUGCAGCCGAUACGGGCGGGCUAGAAUUCGGUAGGGGAGACUGGAAUUCCUGGUGUAGCGGUGAAAUGCGCAGAUAUCAGGAGGAACACCGGUGGCGAAGGCGACUACCUGGCCUGUUCUUGACGCUGAGGCGCGAAAGCUAGGGGAGCAAACGGG
Molecule: ribosomal RNA, 253 nt
Filed under: uncultured bacterium
Lineage: Bacteria
Description: partial 16S ribosomal RNA
Rfam family: Bacterial small subunit ribosomal RNA
Source: RNAcentral